Molecule: transfer RNA, 75 nt
Filed under: Kibdelosporangium phytohabitans
Lineage: Bacteria; Bacillati; Actinomycetota; Actinomycetes; Pseudonocardiales; Pseudonocardiaceae
Also listed under: 1 other name
Description: tRNA-Glu
Rfam family: tRNA
About the family: Transfer RNA (tRNA) molecules are approximately 80 nucleotides in length. Their secondary structure includes four short double-helical elements and three loops (D, anti-codon, and T loops). Further hydrogen bonds mediate the characteristic L-shaped molecular structure. tRNAs have two regions of fundamental functional importance: the anti-codon, which is responsible for specific mRNA codon recognition, and the 3' end, to which the tRNAs corresponding amino acid is attached (by aminoacyl-tRNA synthetases). tRNAs cope with the degeneracy of the genetic code in two manners: having more than one tRNA (with a specific anti-codon) for a particular amino acid; and 'wobble' base-pairing, i.e. permitting non-standard base-pairing at the 3rd anti-codon position.
Source: RNAcentral
GGCGCGUUGGUCCAGUGGAACGGACAUUGGUCUCUCACACCGAAGACACGGGUUCGACUCCCGUACGCGUCACGA